CCGAAACCAACCUGUCCUGACUAUGGCUCAUAGGAAAAGCCAAGUAAGACAGUUCCCGGGCCUGAUCCUGAAUCAGGGAAUCAUAUUUCCUAAUGCAGGACAGAAGAGGAAAGACACCAGUAUCACAUAGAUUCACAGCAGUUACUCAAUGAAUAAUUAGCAUCAUUUCUCAUCCUAAGUCUAGAUAGAACCUUUCAUGCCUUCUGUUUUAACCACCACCUGAUGCCUGAAUUUCUUCUAUGUUAUGAUACUGUGGCUGACUAUAUUUUGCAAUGAUGGCCAUCACAUAAACGCUCAUACCAUCAACUGAUGGGACCCAAAACAAGAGACCCUAAGUGAGAACCACCCAGCUGAGCCCAGUCAAACCAUAGAACCAUGAAGCAUAAUAAAGUGUUGUUUGAAGUCACU
Molecule: non-coding RNA, 408 nt
Filed under: Pan troglodytes (chimpanzee)
Lineage: Eukaryota; Metazoa; Chordata; Mammalia; Primates; Hominidae
Source: RNAcentral